AACCAUAGAAACCUGCGGAGUACCUGCGGAGGGAUCAUUAACAAAUGCUCCACAUUUUAACUGUGUGAACUGUACUUUCAACUUGGUUGUCUUCGUGUCAACCACCGUUUUUAAACUCUUUAAACUCAAUUACCAUAAGCCUGAGAUGAAAUGCAAAAUAGUAAACAACUUUUAGCAACGGAUCU
Molecule: unclassified non-coding RNA, 185 nt
Filed under: soil metagenome
Description: partial contains 5.8S ribosomal RNA, internal transcribed spacer 2, and large subunit ribosomal RNA
Source: RNAcentral